UACAGAGGGUGCAAGCGUUACUCGGAAUUACUGGGCGUAAAGGGUGCGUAGGUGGUUGAAUAAGUUAGGUGUGAAAGUCCUGGGCUUAACCUGGGGAUUGCGCCUAAUACUGUUUAGCUAGAGUACUGUAGAGGAAGGUGGAAUUUCCAGUGUAGCGGUGAAAUGCGUAGAUAUUGGAAGGAACAUCAGUGGCGAAGGCGACUUUCUGGACAGAUACUGACACUGAGGCACGAAAGCGUGGGGAGCAAACAGG
RNAcentral lists this ribosomal RNA (253 nucleotides) under uncultured bacterium. Its description in RNAcentral is "partial 16S ribosomal RNA". It matches the Rfam family "Bacterial small subunit ribosomal RNA", at positions 524 to 776 of the family's 1533-position model. The record is from RNAcentral.